UGUUAAAAAAUUCACCCAAUUUAUAUUGUUAAAAACUAAUAUAGCUAACAAAAUAACUAAAUAAUUACACAUGAUAUGUCACGUGUACUUAAUUUUGACAUACGGAAACCAAUUUUUAACGGUAAAAGUAGAUGAAAUUUUUAAAA
Gossypium hirsutum (cotton) is the source of this 146-nucleotide non-coding RNA. The record is from Rfam. NCBI's taxonomy places the organism in Eukaryota, Viridiplantae, Streptophyta, Magnoliopsida, Malvales, Malvaceae.